AGCGAACGCUGGCGGCAUGCCUAACACAUGCAAGUCUGACGGGCUGGCCUUUCGGGGCUGGUCAGUGGCGGACGGGUGAGGAGCGCGUAGGAACGUAUCCAAGGGUGGGGGACAACCGCGGGAAACUGCGGCUAAUACCGCAUGGGGCCUGAGGGCCAAAGGCCGGGGGGAACUUCGGUCGCCACUGGAGCGGCCUGCGUCCGAUUAGCUAGUUGGGGGGGUAACGGCCCACCAAGGCGGUGAUCGGUAGCUGGUCUGAGAGGAUGAUCAGCCACAC
RNAcentral lists this ribosomal RNA (277 nucleotides) under uncultured bacterium. RNAcentral's name for it is "partial 16S ribosomal RNA". It matches the Rfam family "Bacterial small subunit ribosomal RNA", at positions 28 to 313 of the family's 1533-position model. The record is from RNAcentral.